This 1464-nucleotide ribosomal RNA is filed under the name metagenome. RNAcentral's name for it is "bacterial SSU rRNA". It matches the Rfam family "Archaeal small subunit ribosomal RNA". The record is from RNAcentral.
UCCGAUUGAUCCCGUCGGACCCCACUGCUAUCGAAAUGGGACUAAGGUAUGCUAGUCGAACGACCAGAACUAUGACUGGAAGUGGCACACUGCUCAGUAACACGUAGCUAACCUACCCUUAGGACGUGGAUACCCCCGAGAAAUUGGGGUUAAUCCGCGAUAGAUGUAAUGUCCUGGAAUGGUAUUACGUCUAAAGGUAUUUCAUACAUGUUUGAAAUAUGCCUAAGGACGGGGCUGCGGCCGAUCAGGCUGUUGGUGAGGUAAUGGCUCACCAAAACCUUUGACCGGUACGGGCCAUGAGAGUGGUAGCCCGGAGAUGGACACUGAGACAAGGGUCCAGGCCCUAAGGGGCGCAGCAACCGCGAAACCUCCACAAUGCACUCACGUGCGAUGGGGCUAUCUCGAGUGCCACCUGAUGAAGGUGGCUUUUCCUAGGUCUUCAAAGCCUUGGGAAUAAGAGGGGGGCAAGACUGGUGUCAGCCGCCGCGGUAACACCAGCCCCUCGAGUGGUGGGGAUGAUUAUUUGGCCUAAAGCGUCCGUAGCCGGCCGAGCAAGUCUUCCGUUAAAUCCAGCGUCUCAAGCGUUGGACCGCGGGAGAUACUACACGGCUAGAGAGUGGGAGAGGUCAGCGGUAUUCUGGGGGUAAGGGCGAAAUCUUUUGAUCCCCGGAGGACCACCAGUGGCGAAGGCUGCUGACUAGAACACGUCUGACGGUCAGGGACGAAAGCUGGGGUAGCGAACCGGAUUAGACACCCGGGUAGUCCCAGCCGUAAACGAUGCAUGUUAGGUGUUGGGUUGGCCACGAGCCACCCCAGUGCCGCAGGGAAGCCGUUAAACAUGCCGCCUGGGAAGUACGAUCGCAAGGUUGAAACUUAAAGGAAUUGGCGGGGGAGCACCACCAGGCGUGAAGCCUGCGGUUUAAUUGGAGUCAACGCCGGGAACCUUACCGGGAGCGACAGCAGAAUGAAGGCCAGAUUGAAGAUCUUGCCAGACGAGCUGAGAGGAGGUGCAUGGCCGUCGCCAGUUCGUGCCGUGAGGUGUUCUCUUAAGUGAGGUAACGAACGAGACCCGUGCCACAUGUUGCCACCAGUAUCUAAAGGAUAGCUGAGCACUCUUGUGGGACCGCAGCCGAUAAGGCUGAGGAAGGUACGGGCAACGGCAGGUCAGUAUGCCCCGAAUCUCCCGGGCCACACGCGGGCUGCAAUGGUAUAGACAGAGGGCUGCCACCCCGAAAGGGGGAGCCAAUCCCUAAACUAUACCUCAGUUGGGAUCGAGGGUUGCAACCCACCCUCGUGAACAUGGAAUGCCUAGUAACCGCCAGUCAUCAUCUGGCGGUGAAUACGUCCCUGCUCCUUGCACACACUGCCCGUCGAACCACCCGAAUGAGGUUUGGGUGAGGAAUGGUCGAAUGUUGGCCGUUUCGAACCUGGGCUUCGUAAGGAGGGUUAAGUCGUAACAAGGUG